RNAcentral lists this ribosomal RNA (235 nucleotides) under uncultured bacterium. RNAcentral describes it as "partial 16S ribosomal RNA". It matches the Rfam family "Bacterial small subunit ribosomal RNA", at positions 120 to 354 of the family's 1533-position model. The record is from RNAcentral.
AGCAAUCUGCCUUGGAGUGGGGAAUAACGGCUGGAAACAGCCGCUAAUACCGCAUGAUACAGUUGGGAGGCAUCUCUCUGACUGUCAAAGAUUUAUCGCUCUGAGAUGAGCUCGCGUCUGAUUAGCUGGUUGGCGGGGUAACGGCCCACCAAGGCGACGAUCAGUAGCCGGACUGAGAGGUUGGCCGGCCACAUUGGGACUGAGACACGGCCCAGACUCCUACGGAAGGCAGCAG